AAAACCUUAAGUUAAAUAAACUAUUAACCUUCAAAGUUAAAAAUAUAAAAUUUAUAGGUUUUA
RNAcentral lists this transfer RNA (63 nucleotides) under Cantacader sp. RNAcentral describes it as "tRNA-Trp". Lineage: Eukaryota; Metazoa; Arthropoda; Insecta; Hemiptera; Tingidae. The record is from RNAcentral.